RNAcentral lists this ribosomal RNA (558 nucleotides) under Clostridioides difficile. Its description in RNAcentral is "bacterial SSU rRNA". It matches the Rfam family "Bacterial small subunit ribosomal RNA", at positions 976 to 1533 of the family's 1533-position model. Lineage: Bacteria; Bacillati; Bacillota; Clostridia; Peptostreptococcales; Peptostreptococcaceae. The record is from RNAcentral.
UAAGCUUGACAUCCCAAUGACAUCUCCUUAAUCGGAGAGUUCCCUUCGGGGACAUUGGUGACAGGUGGUGCAUGGUUGUCGUCAGCUCGUGUCGUGAGAUGUUGGGUUAAGUCCCGCAACGAGCGCAACCCUUGUCUUUAGUUGCCAUCAUUAAGUUGGGCACUCUAGAGAGACUGCCAGGGAUAACCUGGAGGAAGGUGGGGAUGACGUCAAAUCAUCAUGCCCCUUAUGCUUAGGGCUACACACGUGCUACAAUGGGUAGUACAGAGGGUUGCCAAGCCGUAAGGUGGAGCUAAUCCCUUAAAGCUACUCUCAGUUCGGAUUGUAGGCUGAAACUCGCCUACAUGAAGCUGGAGUUACUAGUAAUCGCAGAUCAGAAUGCUGCGGUGAAUGCGUUCCCGGGUCUUGUACACACCGCCCGUCACACCACGGGAGUUGGAGACGCCCGAAGCCGAUUAUCUAACCUUUUGGAAGAAGUCGUCGAAGGUGGAAUCAAUAACUGGGGUGAAGUCGUAACAAGGUAGCCGUAUCGGAAGGUGCGGCUGGAUCACCUCCUUU